Molecule: ribosomal RNA, 388 nt
Filed under: uncultured bacterium
Lineage: Bacteria
Description: bacterial SSU rRNA
Rfam family: Bacterial small subunit ribosomal RNA
Source: RNAcentral
AUUAAACGCUGGCGGCAUGCCUUACACAUGCAAGUCGAACGGCAGCACGGGGGCAACCCUGGUGGCGAGUGGCGAACGGGUGAGUAAAGCAUCGGAACGUGCCCUGGAGUGGGGGGAUAACGUAGCGAAAGUUACGCUAAUACCGCAUAUUCUGUGAGCAGGAAAGCAGGGGAUCGCAAGACCUUGCGCUCUGGGAGCGGCCGAUGUCGGAUUAGCUAGUUGGUGGGGUAAAGGCCUACCAAGGCGACGAUCCGUAGCGGGUCUGAGAGGAUGAUCCGCCACACUGGGACUGAGACACGGCCCAGACUCCUACGGGAGGCAGCAGUGGGGAAUUUUGGACAAUGGGCGAAAGCCUGAUCCAGCCAUGCCGCGUGAGUGAAGAAGGCCU